UACGGGAGGUGCAAGCGUUACUCGGAAUCACUGGGCGUAAAGGGCGCGUAGGCGGCCUAGCAAGUCUGGUGUGAAAGCCCAGGGCUCAACCCUGGAAGGGCACUGGAAACUGUUAGGCUUGAGAUCCGGAGAGGAGGGGGGAAUUCCCGGUGUAGCGGUGAAAUGCGUAGAUAUCGGGAGGAAUACCGGUGGCGAAGGCGCCCCUCUGGACGGAAACUGACGUUGAGGCGCGAAAGCGUGGGGAGCAAACAGG
This 253-nucleotide ribosomal RNA is filed under the name uncultured bacterium. RNAcentral describes it as "partial 16S ribosomal RNA". It matches the Rfam family "Bacterial small subunit ribosomal RNA", at positions 524 to 776 of the family's 1533-position model. The record is from RNAcentral.